RNAcentral lists this ribosomal RNA (440 nucleotides) under uncultured bacterium. Its description in RNAcentral is "partial 16S ribosomal RNA". It matches the Rfam family "Bacterial small subunit ribosomal RNA", at positions 338 to 795 of the family's 1533-position model. The record is from RNAcentral.
CCUACGGGAGGCAGCAGUGGGGGAUAUUGCACAAUGGGGGAAACCCUGAUGCAGCGACGCCGCGUGAGUGAAGAAGUAUUUCGGUAUGUAAAGCCCUAUCAGCAGGGAAGAAAAUGACAGUACCUGACCAAGAAGCCCCGUCUUAAUACGUGCCAGCAGCCUCGGUAAGAUGUAGGGGGCAAGCGUUAUCCGGAUUGACUGGGCGUAAAGGGGGCGUAGACGGUUAUGUAAGUCUGGAGUGAAAGCCCGGGGCCCAACCCCGGGACUGCUUUGGAAACUGUGUAACUGGAGUACAGGAGGGGCAGGCGGAAUGCGUGGUGUAGCGGUGAAAUGCGUAGAUAUCAGGAGGAACACCGACGGCGAAGGCGGCCUGCUGGACUGAAACUGACGUUGAGGCUCGAAAGCGUGGGGAGCGAACAGGAUUAGAUACCCCUGUAGUC